RNAcentral lists this ribosomal RNA (779 nucleotides) under uncultured Neocallimastigales. RNAcentral's name for it is "partial large subunit ribosomal RNA". It matches the Rfam family "Eukaryotic large subunit ribosomal RNA", at positions 26 to 643 of the family's 3401-position model. Lineage: Eukaryota; Fungi; Neocallimastigomycota; Neocallimastigomycetes; Neocallimastigales. The record is from RNAcentral.
CGUCUAUAUACGUAUAGCAUAUCAAUAAGCGGAGGAAAAGAAACUAACAAGGAUUCCCCUAGUAACGGCGAGUGAAGCGGGAAGAGCUCAAAUUUGAAAUCUUCAAGGGUUUCCCUUGACGAAUUGUAGUUUAAAGAAGUGUUUUCUGUUGGAGUUUUGGUAAAAGUUCUUUGGAAUAGGACAUCAUAGAGGGUGAGAAUCCCGUAUUUGACCAUUAUUUCCAACUUUGUGAUACACUUUCAAAGAGUCGGAUUGUUUGGGAAUGCAGUCCAAAAUGGGUGGUAAAUUUCAUCUAAAGCUAAAUAUUGGCGAGAGACCGAUAGCGAACAAGUACCGUGAGGGAAAGAUGAAAAGAACUUUGAAAAGAGAGUUAAACAGUACGUGAAAUUGUCAAAAGGGAAGCGUUUGACACCAGUGUUGUUUUUCCGAAAAUCAAUUGACGAAUGUUUUAUUUUUGAGGAGUUAUGACUUCAUCGGCUUGCUUCUCUCUUUAUGAAACUUUCUUAAUGCACUUUUCGGUUAACAAGUCAACAUCAAUUUCUUUUGUUGUAAAAGGGUAUGAGGAAGGUGGCUUUCUUUUCGGAGAAAGUGUUUAUAGCCUUGUAGCCUCUUGCAAUCGGAGAGAUUGAGGUCUGCAGCGUAGAUCCUUCGGGGUUAGAUACAGUUUGUGCUAAGUUAUAGCUUUUCAUAGACAACUUGUUGACUAUGUUUAGUCUUGUAGACUUACUCGCUUACGCUAUUUUACCUACGCUUAGGAUGUUGACACACGCGCGUGCUCG